AUUGAACGCUGGCGGCAGGCCUAACACAUGCAAGUCGAGCGGAUGAAGGGAGCUUGCUCCUGGAUUCAGCGGCGGACGGGUGAGUAACGCCUAGGAAUCUGCCUGGUAGUGGGGGAUAACGUCCGGAAACGGGCGCUAAUACCGCAUACGUCCUGAGGGAGAAAGUGGGGGAUCUUCGGACCUCACGCCAUCAGAUGAGCCUAGGUCGGAUUAGCUAGUUGGUGGGGUAAAGGCCUACCAAGGCGACGAUCCGUAACUGGUCUGAGAGGAUGAUCAGUCACACUGGAACUGAGACACGGUCCAGACUCCUACGGGAGGCAGCAGUGGGGAAUAUUGGACAAUGGGCGAAAGCCUGAUCCAGCCAUGCCGCGUGUGUGAAGAAGGUCUUCGGAUUGUAAAGCACUUUAAGUUGGGAGGAAGGGCAGUAAGUUAAUACCUUGCUGUUUUGACGUUACCAACAGAAUAAGCACCGGCUAACUUCGUG
Molecule: ribosomal RNA, 484 nt
Filed under: uncultured bacterium
Lineage: Bacteria
Description: partial 16S ribosomal RNA
Rfam family: Bacterial small subunit ribosomal RNA
Source: RNAcentral